This 483-nucleotide ribosomal RNA is filed under the name uncultured bacterium. RNAcentral describes it as "bacterial SSU rRNA". It matches the Rfam family "Bacterial small subunit ribosomal RNA", at positions 33 to 507 of the family's 1533-position model. The record is from RNAcentral.
AGGACGACGCUGGCGGCGUGCCUAACACAUGCAAGUCGAGCGGAGUCGAUCGACGGAAGCCUUCGGGCGGAAGAUGGUUGACUUAGCGGCGGAUGGGUGAGUAACGCGUGGGCAACCUGCCUCGAAGACCGGGAUAACAGCCCGAAAGGGCUGCUAAUACCGGAUGUGGUCAAGGAUCCGCAUGGAUUUUGAUUAAAGGGGAAACCCGUUUCGAGAUGGGCCCGCGUCCUAUCAGCUAGUUGGUGAGGUAAAAGCUCACCAAGGCGACGACGGGUAGCCGGCCUGAGAGGGUGACCGGCCACACUGGAACUGAGACACGGUCCAGACUCCUACGGGGGGCAGCAGUGGGGAAUCUUCCACAAUGGGCGAAAGCCUGAUGGAGCGACGCCGCGUGAGCGAAGAAGGCCUUCGGGUUGUAAAGCUCUGUCUGGAGGGACGAAGGAAGUGACGGUACCUCCGGAGGAAGCCACGGCUAACUACGUG